Molecule: unclassified non-coding RNA, 1511 nt
Filed under: Pogonomyrmex barbatus (red harvester ant)
Lineage: Eukaryota; Metazoa; Arthropoda; Insecta; Hymenoptera; Formicidae
Description: palmitoyltransferase ZDHHC23, transcript variant X1
Source: RNAcentral
AAGAGAGAGAUGAUGAACGUCGCGGCGGCGAACGGAAUAGAUCUGUAUUCGAGAAAACGAGUCGAAUCGCGCACGGUACAGAGUACCGGUAUUCAUAGAUGGAAUCGGAGCCCGCGCGUCGAGGAUGCGAUCCCGAAUAUCCAUGGAUAUCCGCUCCUGUCUGCGAACGGAGUACCCUCGAGAUUGGAGGCGCCGGCGACGGCGGCGACGGUAGCGGCGGACUUUCAGACGCGAGUGCCAUCGUCCGCGUUUCCCGCGCGACCGCUUCGAGAGCCGCGCGCCGCGACGGCCACCAGAACGCGUCGCCCCGUGUCGUCGUCGUCGUCGUCGUCGUCGUCACCAACCGGUGUCGCCGGCUUAGCUCAGAAACGUUCAUCGACGCGGCGUACGGGCGUCGGCCUAACCUCGCCCCGCGCCGACGCUUCUCGCAUAUGUCAGUGUGACGACGAGCUGCCAGAUCACCGACAACGAAGUAUGACCGUCUGGGAGAGGCUGCGUAAUCCGUGCGGCUGGCGCGCGGGCGCUAAGCAGAUCUCAGUCGAUGCGAUGCUACCGUUGCUCGUGGUGCCGAUCCUGGCGGUGAUCGCCGCCCAGACCGUCCUCUGUACGGUCGUCGUAUUCCUGGUCACGCCGGUCCUCGUAUACUACCUACACCACAACUUUCUCAGGUUUCUGCUGCGUACCAAGUUUUUCCUCAUGUGGACGAUCACCAGUGUGCUGAUGAUGAUGCUGGUGUUCGAGAUGAGCGUCGUGCCGCUAUUGGAGAUCCUGCCUGAGGAGAAUUUCUUGUUUAUGAUGUGCGUAGUCGGCGGCAUGUGCUGUGGCUACAGAGCCAAGGUGAAUGCGGAUGAUGCGGUACAGGAUAGCAUCAUCGGCUUGCAGAGUCUGGAACUGGGUGAGGGCAGCGGUGAGCUCUGCGCUACCUGCAGGAGAAGAGCACCACCCAGGGCUCAUCACUGCCGCUUGUGUCAGACUUGUAUUCUUAACAGGGAAUAUCAUUGUAAAUGGCUGGAUUGUUGCAUAGGUUCUAGCAAUCUAAGAUGGUAUUUGGGUUGCUUAUUCUUUUCCGCAAUCGCUUUUAUCUAUGGUUCCAACUUGACUAUGACUAGCGUUUGCCAUCCUUUCAUACUCAUCGGAACUGUACUCUUACCAGAUAACUGUAGCGAUGUGUAUCAUCAACUGGAGUACGUAUUUAUAUACACACUGAAAAUUAUUGAAACAUGCUGAACAUGCGGCUCUUGAAAUUAUUCCAUAACGAGAUGAAAAAUCGGUAUAUCACAUGCAUAAGCAGGAAGUGCAAAGGGUGUCACUGAUACCAAGACUUUAUAAAAUAAACUGGAAAGAUACAGGGAAUCUAUAAAGUUUAAUAAUCGCAAGAUAAUGAUAAUUGUCAGGUCUACGAGAUGCAGAGGAUGUCAUAAAUAAUAUUCCUCGCUCUCUGCUUCGUCUCUGCUUUGUACAGUCUUCUCGUGGGUCUAGUGCUCUUUUGUUAUCUCGUAUACCACCUAUGG